AUUGGAUUGCAAUGCUCUGAUAACAUAUUUCUGAAUAAUAUGUUGUUGUUUUCUUAAAUGUAAUUGAAAUUAGAUUCUGAGGUGGAUAGAGAACCUAAAACUGGUCCUCAAGAAAGAAAACUUCAACAUAUUUUUACUCAAGUUAAAGU
Molecule: long non-coding RNA, 149 nt
Organism: Poecilia latipinna (sailfin molly)
Lineage: Eukaryota; Metazoa; Chordata; Actinopteri; Cyprinodontiformes; Poeciliidae
Exons: 2
Source: RefSeq, a predicted model, not a curated record